Molecule: ribosomal RNA, 468 nt
Filed under: uncultured bacterium
Lineage: Bacteria
Description: partial 16S ribosomal RNA
Rfam family: Bacterial small subunit ribosomal RNA
Source: RNAcentral
GACGAACGCUGGCGGCGUGCUUAACACAUACAAGUCGAACGGAAAGGCCCUGCUUUUGUGGGGUGCUCGAGUGGCGAACGGGUGAGUAACACGUGAGUAACCUGCCCUUGACUUUGGGAUAACUUCAGGAAACUGGGGCUAAUACCGGAUAGGAGCUCCUGCUGCAUGGUGGGGGUUGGAAAGUUUCGGCGGUUGGGGAUGGACUCGCGGCUUAUCAGCUUGUUGGUGGGGUAGUGGCUUACCAAGGCUUUGACGGGUAGCCGGCCUGAGAGGGUGACCGGCCACAUUGGGACUGAGAUACGGCCCAGACUCCUACGGGAGGCAGCAGUGGGGAAUAUUGCACAAUGGGCGGAAGCCUGAUGCAGCAACGCCGCGUGCGGGAUGACGGCCUUUGGGUUGUAAACCGCUUUCGCCUGUGACGAAGCGUGAGUGACGGUAAUGGGUAAAGAAGCACCGGCUAACUACGUG